GACGAACGCUGGCGGCGUGCUUAACACAUUCAAGUCGAACGGAAAGGCCCUGCUUUUGUGGGGUGCUCGAGUGGCGAACGGGUGAGUAACACGUGAGUAACCUGCCCUUGACUUUGGGAUAACUUCAGGAAACUGGGGCUAAUACCGGAUAGGAGCUCCUGCUGCAUGGUGGGGGUUGGAAAGUUUCGGCGGUUGGGGAUGGACUCGCGGCUUAUCAGCUUGUUGGUGGGGUAGUGGCUUACCAAGGCUUUGACGGGUAGCCGGCCUGAGAGGGUGACCGGCCACAUUGGGACUGAGAUACGGCCCAGACUCCUACGGGAGGCAGCAGUGGGGAAUAUUGCACAAUGGGCGGAAGCCUGAUGCAGCAACGCCGCGUGCGGGAUGACGGCCUUCGGGUUGUAAACCGCUUUCGCCUGUGACGAAGCGUGAGUGAUGGUAAUGGGUAAAGAAGCACCGGCUAACUACGUG
Molecule: ribosomal RNA, 468 nt
Filed under: uncultured bacterium
Lineage: Bacteria
Description: partial 16S ribosomal RNA
Rfam family: Bacterial small subunit ribosomal RNA
Source: RNAcentral